GAAUGAGCUCAGCAAAAGCUGCAUUGGAGAGCGAUACAAAAGUGCUGGCUUUUGAACUGCACUUGCUUGCCACAAAGCAUCAGAUGUUUCAUCUGAUUCCAACACCUCAGGGAGCUUUUAUGUACUUAAUGACAUAUUCCGUCUCAA
This is a long non-coding RNA of Zingiber officinale, 147 nucleotides long. RefSeq lists it as uncharacterized. The record is from RefSeq and is a predicted model, not a curated record. The transcript is spliced from 3 exons. Lineage: Eukaryota; Viridiplantae; Streptophyta; Magnoliopsida; Zingiberales; Zingiberaceae.